This 884-nucleotide ribosomal RNA is filed under the name Bacillus thuringiensis. RNAcentral describes it as "bacterial SSU rRNA". It matches the Rfam family "Bacterial small subunit ribosomal RNA", at positions 69 to 941 of the family's 1533-position model. Lineage: Bacteria; Bacillati; Bacillota; Bacilli; Caryophanales; Bacillaceae. The record is from RNAcentral.
AUGGAUUGAGAGCUUGCUCUCAAGAAGUUAGCGGCGGACGGGUGAGUAACACGUGGGUAACCUGCCCAUAAGACUGGGAUAACUCCGGGAAACCGGGGCUAAUACCGGAUAACAUUUUGAACUGCAUGGUUCGAAAUUGAAAGGCGGCUUCGGCUGUCACUUAUGGAUGGACCCGCGUCGCAUUAGCUAGUUGGUGAGGUAACGGCUCACCAAGGCAACGAUGCGUAGCCGACCUGAGAGGGUGAUCGGCCACACUGGGACUGAGACACGGCCCAGACUCCUACGGGAGGCAGCAGUAGGGAAUCUUCCGCAAUGGACGAAAGUCUGACGGAGCAACGCCGCGUGAGUGAUGAAGGCUUUCGGGUCGUAAAACUCUGUUGUUAGGGAAGAACAAGUGCUAGUUGAAUAAGCUGGCACCUUGACGGUACCUAACCAGAAAGCCACGGCUAACUACGUGCCAGCAGCCGCGGUAAUACGUAGGUGGCAAGCGUUAUCCGGAAUUAUUGGGCGUAAAGCGCGCGCAGGUGGUUUCUUAAGUCUGAUGUGAAAGCCCACGGCUCAACCGUGGAGGGUCAUUGGAAACUGGGAGACUUGAGUGCAGAAGAGGAAAGUGGAAUUCCAUGUGUAGCGUGAAAUGCGUAGAGAUAUGGAGAACACCAGUGGCGAAAGCGACUUCUGGUCUGUAACUGACACUGAGGCGCGAAAGCGUGGGGGAGCAAACAGGAUUAGAUACGCUGGUAGUCCACGCCGUAAACGAUGAGUGCUAAGUGUUAGAGGGUUCCGCCCUUUAGUGCUGAAGUUAACGCAUUAAGCACUCCGCCUGGGGAGUACGCCGCAAGCUGAACUCAAGGAAUUGACGGGGCCCGCACAAGCGGUGGAGCAUG